RNAcentral lists this small nuclear RNA (107 nucleotides) under Dasypus novemcinctus (nine-banded armadillo). The record is from RNAcentral. Lineage: Eukaryota; Metazoa; Chordata; Mammalia; Cingulata; Dasypodidae.
AUGCUUGCUUCAGCGGCACAUAUACUAAAAUUGGAAUACUACAGAGAAGAUUGGCAUGGCCCCUGAGCAAGGGUGACAUGCAAAUUUGUGAAGUGUUCUUUAUUUUU